GACGAACGCUGGCGGCGUGCUUAACACAUGCAAGUCGAACGGAAAGGCCCUGCUUUUGUGGGGUGCUCGAGUGGCGAACGGGUGAGUAACACGUGAGUAACCUGCCCUUGACUUUGGGAUAACUUCAGGAAACUGGGGCUAAUACCGGAUAGGAGCUCCUGCUGCAUGGUGGGGGUUGGAAAGUUUCGGCGGUUGGGGAUGGACUCGCGGCUUAUCAGCUUGUUGGUGGGGUAGUGGCUUACCAAGGCUUUGACGGGUAGCCGGCCUGAGAGGGUGACCGGCAACAUUGGGACUGAGAUACGGCACAGACUCCUACGGGAGGCAGCAGUGGGGAAUAUUGCACAAUGGGCGGAAGCCUGAUGCAGCAACGCCGCGUGCGGGAUGAAGGCCUUCGGGUUGUAAACCGCUUUCGCCUGUGACGAAGCGUGAGUGACGGUAAUGGGUAAAGAAGCACCGGCUAACUACGUG
This 468-nucleotide ribosomal RNA is filed under the name uncultured bacterium. RNAcentral's name for it is "partial 16S ribosomal RNA". It matches the Rfam family "Bacterial small subunit ribosomal RNA", at positions 28 to 507 of the family's 1533-position model. The record is from RNAcentral.